UCAAAACAGCGGACUUCGGUCUUUGCUGCACCCUUGUCUUUUGCGCACCGAAUCGUUUCCUCGGCGGGCUUGCCUGCCGGUUGGACAUUAUCAAAACCUUUUUGUAGUUGCAAUCAGCGUCAGAAAAAUCAUAAUUAUUA
This 140-nucleotide unclassified non-coding RNA is filed under the name soil metagenome. Its description in RNAcentral is "partial internal transcribed spacer 1". The record is from RNAcentral.